UUAUACCGUGAAACUGCGAAUGGCUCAUUAAAUCAGUUAUCGUUUAUUUGAUAGUACCUUACUACUUGGAUAACCGUGGUAAUUCUAGAGCUAAUACAUGCUAAAAACCCCAACUUCGGGAGGGGUGUAUUUAUUAGAUAAAAAACCAACGCCCUUCGGGGCUCCUUGGUGAAUCAUAAUAACUUAACGGAUCGCAUGGCCUUGCGCCGGCGACGGUUCAUUCAAAUUUCUGCCCUAUCAACUUUCGAUUGUAGGGUAUUGGCCUACAAUGGUAUCAACGGGUAACGGGGAAUUAGGGUUCGAUUCCGGAGAGGGAGCCUGAGAAACGGCUACCACAUCCAAGGAAGGCAGCAGGCGCGCAAAUUACCCAAUCCCGACACGGGGAGGUAGUGACAAUAAAUACUGAUACAGGGCUCUUUUGGGUCUUGUAAUUGGAAUGAGUACAAUUUAAAUCCCUUAACGAGGAACAAUUGGAGGGCAAGUCUGGUGCCAGCAGCCGCGGUAAUUCCAGCUCCAAUAGCGUAUAUUAAAGUUGUUGCAGUUAAAAAGCUCGUAGUUGAACCUUGGGCCUGGCUGGCCGGUCCGCCUCACCGCGUGCACUGGUCCGGCCGGGCCUUUCCUUCUGGAGAGCCGCAUGCCCUUCACUGGGUGUGUCGGGGAACCAGGACUUUUACUUUGAAAAAAUUAGAGUGUUCAAAGCAGGCCUUUGCUCGAAUACAUUAGCAUGGAAUAAUAGAAUAGGACGUGCGGUUCUAUUUUGUUGGUUUCUAGGACCGCCGUAAUGAUUAAUAGGGAUAGUCGGGGGCAUCAGUAUUCAAUUGUCAGAGGUGAAAUUCUUGGAUUUAUUGAAGACUAACUACUGCGAAAGCAUUUGCCAAGGAUGUUUUCAUUAAUCAGUGAACGAAAGUUAGGGGAUCGAAGACGAUCAGAUACCGUCGUAGUCUUAACCGUAAACUAUGCCGACUAGGGAUCGGGCGAUGUUAUUAUUUUGACUCGCUCGGCACCUUACGAGAAAUCAAAGUUUUUGGG
This 1029-nucleotide ribosomal RNA is filed under the name Rhytidhysteron thailandicum. Its description in RNAcentral is "SSU rRNA". It matches the Rfam family "Eukaryotic small subunit ribosomal RNA", at positions 74 to 1111 of the family's 1831-position model. Lineage: Eukaryota; Fungi; Ascomycota; Dothideomycetes; Hysteriales; Hysteriaceae. The record is from RNAcentral.